Molecule: long non-coding RNA, 2021 nt
Filed under: Monodelphis domestica (gray short-tailed opossum)
Lineage: Eukaryota; Metazoa; Chordata; Mammalia; Didelphimorphia; Didelphidae
Description: lncRNA (ENSMODG00000043595.1)
Source: RNAcentral
GUUUAGCCAUAGGAGUCUGUCAUGUUGGAUAAGUAGUAAGAAUUCCCAAGAAUUGUUUUGGUUGCAUCUAUACAAAUUUAGCUAAGAAAUCAUAGGAAAAUCAGCAAUACAUUCAAGAUAGUGCUUAGCAUAAACCCAAACAUCCUCAUUGUGAUGUGGGAAUUUAGUAUAAAUUUUACCCAUUUAUUUCACUUGAAAGCCCAUCAGCCUCAUCAUUUGGUAGACCCAUAUUUCCCCUUGGGGUGGGAUGAGAUUCAGGGUGUAAUUCUCAGAGUAGUAUUUGGCUUGUUGUAACCCCAAUGUUAAAUUUUCCUCUGUAUUACUAUUCCUUAGACUAAAACUGCCCCCCAUGAAACUUUCAGUUUUCCUGACUUCUUUUCCAAAAGCUUGAGAAGACUUUCUCUGUAGUCGAGGAAGAAAGCCAAGCCUAAGUAUAAGGUAAACUGAAGGAAGAAAGAACAGGGAGCUUCCAAAGUAUCAUGAUUGUCCGUAGGCUGCAAAUCUCAUGAGAGGCAUGGGGUUUUGAUCACAGGGUCAUCAGGGUACGUAAUGUUGAAAAUCAUGAGCUCAACACUGAAGGAACAAGCCUUCGCCCCUUUCUGUGGGGUUGGAAAGAGGGGAGGAGGAGAAUCUUGCAUCCGGAGUACUAUAAAAGUCCGUGAUUGGACCUAGAAGAAGGGAGGACAUUUUUGACUCAACAAGCCUCUUGUGUGGGCUGAACCCCUUUUCCUUCCCUUCCCCCCUUUCCUGUUUUCUUCCACUGAAGCCACUUUUCUCAGCCAGCAUCUUAUCAAGUCUCUUGUCUGCUCAUUAGAAGGCUUUCUGGAGGUAUGAGCUCCCUCAGAAUUGUACUUGACAUAGCAGGAAGCCAGAAAGACUUUUGUGACUGUCCAUGCGCAUGUGGCUACUUGGCAUGGCGGCCUGGCGUGGGGCUGGUGGGAGUUGUAUGGGAUCGGUUGUGUCCAAAAGUCAGGAUUCAGGACCAGGACUGAGGCUAAAGAUUAUCCAAUCAGAGACUCCCAGGAGGAGUGCCAAAUUCUGGCUUUCUAGAAAAGAAAUGGAACCACGAUUACCUAAAAGUGACAACUGGAAAGUUGUGGAGGAGAGAAAAUGGAAAAGUCUGCAACAGAGCUGGAAAGGCAAGAACUCCAGAACUGUCAAUCAAGAUGAACAUUCCAUUUCGAAUAAGGGCUGGGGAAAGACAGUUAAGAAGGAGGAGGCAAACUGAAAAUCUGGCUCUCUUUGCCUUGAGCUAGAAAGGAGGAAGGACAAAAGUCCUGCUCUCUGGUUUCUCUCUGCUGCACAACCAAUUUUAACUUUGAAAAAACACCUGAUAAUCUUCUUUAUUUUCUUUUAAAAAAUACCCACAUCUUCAAUUCACAGAUCUGGAGACCUCUCUGGAUUUAUCCAGAGAUAGUCAGGGUGAAAGUCAUUGCCUUACUUUAGUGUCAUGAAGCUCGUGUUCUGUAGAAACAGAACCCCGAAUCUCUCCCUGUUUCUCUUUCAUCUCUAUCCCUAGCUACUUGCAGACCACCCACCAACAGCAUCACCAGAAGCACUCAGGUAGGACACUCUAUACUGAUGAAGUCAAAGAAGAAUUUUUCAGAGGCAACGGCUGCCUGCCUGCCUGCCGGGCCUCAUUCUAAGCAUCCUCUUGCUUCACUCAGAAAGGUCAUUGUCUGAGGUUAUAUCCCUACAUAUCCAUUAUGAGCAGAACUUUGUCCUGAGUAUGAUAAAGACAUUAUUGCCUAGUUUAAAAAACAAAAUGUACCCUCCUAAAAGGCUGUGGUGGGACAUGGGACCCCCAAGAAAACCUGGGGGCUCCUGAGCCCUAAAAGAUACUUAAUAAGCAGCCUCAGAGGCCAAGUGGCUGGAGAGAGCCCAGGGGUAACUGAGAGGCAGCUGUAUGCAAUGUAAACUCUUAGGUCUGCAAGGAGAAUCUGCCCAUACAUUUAUGAUACGUCCUGUACAAUUAUGAUCUGAGCCCCUCGAAUAAAUGUGAACCUUUGGCUCCUGCCCCA